GACUAGCCGGUGGACAAACCGGAGGAAGGUGGGGAUGACGUCAAGUCAUCAUGGCCCUUACGGCCUGGGCUACACACGUGCUACAAUGGUCGGUACAAAGGGUUGCCAAGCCGCGAGGUGGAGCUAAUCCCAUAAAACCGAUCGUAGUCCGGAUCGCAGUCUGCAACUCGACUGCGUGAAGUCGGAAUCGCUAGUAAUCGUGAAUCAGAAUGUCACGGUGAAUACGUUCCCGGGCCUU
RNAcentral lists this ribosomal RNA (238 nucleotides) under uncultured Pseudomonas sp. RNAcentral's name for it is "partial 16S ribosomal RNA". It matches the Rfam family "Bacterial small subunit ribosomal RNA", at positions 1147 to 1382 of the family's 1533-position model. The record is from RNAcentral. Lineage: Bacteria; Pseudomonadati; Pseudomonadota; Gammaproteobacteria; Pseudomonadales; Pseudomonadaceae.